This 460-nucleotide ribosomal RNA is filed under the name uncultured bacterium. RNAcentral describes it as "partial 16S ribosomal RNA". It matches the Rfam family "Bacterial small subunit ribosomal RNA", at positions 338 to 795 of the family's 1533-position model. The record is from RNAcentral.
CCUACGGGGGGCAGCAGUGAGGAAUAUUGGUCAAUGGGCGCGAGCCUGAACCAGCCAAGUAGCGUGAAGGAUGACUGCCCUACGGGUUGUAAACUUCUUUUAUAAAGGAAUAAAGUGAGGCACGUGUGCCUUUUUGUAUGUACUUUAUGAAUAAGGAUCGGCUAACACCGUGCCAGCAGCCGCGGUAAUUCGGAGGAUCCGAGCGUUAUCCGGAUUUAUUGGGUUUAAAGGGAGCGUAGAUGGGUUGUUAAGUCAUUUGUGAAAGUUUGCGGCUCAACCGUAAAAUUGCAAGUGAUACUGGCAGUCGUGAGUACAGUGGAGGUAGGCGGAAUUCGUGGUGUAGCGGUGAAAGGCUGAGAUAUCACGAAGAACUCCGAUUGCGAAGGCAGCUUACUAAACUGCCACUGACAUUGAUGCUCGAAAGUGUGGGUAGCAAACAGGAUUAGAUACCCCAGUAGUC